RNAcentral lists this long non-coding RNA (1401 nucleotides) under Anser brachyrhynchus (Pink-footed goose). RNAcentral's name for it is "lncRNA (ENSABRG00000011120.1)". Lineage: Eukaryota; Metazoa; Chordata; Aves; Anseriformes; Anatidae. The record is from RNAcentral.
CCCCAUUUCAGUUUCCCAGGACCUGCUGCUCCUCGAGCCAACCUCAAAAUGAUGACAGUGCAUAUCCCACUCGCAGGCUGCUUGACUCUAACAAAACACCGAAGUACAGGGUGGCCACGGCAGCUUCUCCGAGGGACCCAUGAGGUGUAACAGCCAUCGGCUUAACUUCCCCAGCCACAUCCGAAACCUAAACAAAACCAGGGCAAACGCUUUACAUAGACCAGCAGGAAGGAGAGGGCAUGGCACUCCCAGAGCUAAAUAAUUCAUCUGCCUCUCUUAGGUACGCUGACAUGUUUGACACACAUUAAACAUUAAUGGAGAUCUUUUUACGGAUGGCUGAGUCACGCUGUCGGCGCGCCGUCUUCUGCCUCUCCACCUGCCCCUUUCUCCCUCAUCCAGCCUCGUUGGUGGAGUACGGCCACUUGUAACACUGCCCUUGGAUGGGACCAGGAGCCCCCAGGUGCUGGGGGGCAGAGGGGGCUCAGCAUCCCCUGGGAAUGCAGGGAUGAGAGCAGAGCCCACCAAGCCCCAGCCCACUGCUGCUAAAUUCACCAGCCCGCUGUUGUGUUAAUUGCCAAACGCGAGGGGCUGGGAAUCAUUUUGCAAAGCAAAUUACCUCCCUGGUUUCUAAAAGCUUCCUAGCCGUGUUUUUUUUUUUUUUUUAACUUCCUAUUUUUUCUUUCUCUCUCAAUAUAUAAACGCCAAUUAUAUUACUGCCUGCCUCUGUUUACUCGUUUUUUCAGUCGUUUCACUCUAAUGCCAGUUUGGCCCCUUCUGCCCAAAUCUCCUUGGCAUGCUACCAUAAAUGUUUAUAGCCCUAAGACUUACUGCUCUAAAGACACAUAUAAAGAGAUGACUGGGAUUAAAGCCUCACUAACUGCCUGGAUGUCUUCUUGGACAAGCACUCCUCUUAAAUUUACUGCAGUGGUACUCAACAGAAGGUAGAGGUACACAAAGCCAUCAGGCAGCCUUCAAAGACAGAGGAUACGCGUUUAAUCUCAUCUCACAUAUCCUAUUAGACUGUGAGACUGGAUGACAAGAGUUACCAAAGACAUGUUCUUCAUCCCAAACAUGCUUUUUUUUAUUGAAAGGGCUAAAAUAUUUCUAACACGAUUAUCACCUAGACUUGAUAAAUUGGCUACUUUUCAAUAAGGGGGAGCUCAGAGUGGCACAAAUAACUGGCUACAGGUUAAUGAGAUCUGACUGAUCUCCAGAGGGUGCAAGCUGCUGCUCUACAGAUGCCCGACAGCUGGAGUCAAAUGGCCAUCCCACUAACAUCCCUAAAACACAGGGAAAUAAUUUAAGGCCUCUCUUUCCAGCCCACUGCCAGGUUGUAAAAGAAAAAGCCACAGGCCUGACAAUGUCUCUUUUUUUUUUUUUUUCCAACAGAGCUGACCAAAG